AACGAACGCUGGCGGCAUGCCUAACACAUGCAAGUCGAACGAACCCUGCGGGGUUGGUGGCGCACGGGUGCGUAACGCGUGGGAAUCUGCCCUUUGCUUCGGAAUAACUCAGGGAAACAUGUGCUAAUACCGGAUGAUGUCUUCGGACCAAAGAUUUAUCGAGAAAGGAUGAGCCCGCGUAGGAUUAGGUAGUUGGUGGGGUAAAGGCCUACCAAGCCUACGAUCCUUAACUGGUCUGAGAGGAUGAUCAGCCACACUGGGACUGAGACACGGCCCAGACUCCUACGGGAGGGGGCAGUGGGUGAUAUUGGACAAUGGGCGCAAGCCUGAUCCAGCAAUGCCGCGUGAGUGAUGAAGGCCCUCGGGUAGUAAAGCUCUUUUACCAGGGAUGAUAAUGACAGUACCUGGAGAAUAAGCACCGGCUAACUCCGUG
Molecule: ribosomal RNA, 433 nt
Filed under: uncultured bacterium
Lineage: Bacteria
Description: partial 16S ribosomal RNA
Rfam family: Bacterial small subunit ribosomal RNA
Source: RNAcentral